GUUACUCAUGCUGCUCUUUUUAAAAGUGGAAUAAACACUACAGACAAAAUGCCUGGGACCCUGUGAACCAUGGAGGCAUAUGACCAACAAAAUCAUUCUUCUAGGUACAAUAAAAUGUAAUGGCUCAUGGAAUUAAGAGUGCUGUGGUACAGAGAAGCAGUGAAUCACUGGGAAGAAAGGGGAAGCUUUGUUUCAAAACAAGGGUAACAUCUAUUUUAAUCUACUUUCCAAAGCCAAGAAAAAACAUGAACAUUUGAAAAUGAUUCCCAGGGUGGAAAUAACUUUUUAAUGAUUUCUUUUUUUUUUUUUUUCAAAAUACAAGACUUGAAGUACCUGAAUUUUUUUUUAAGUAUAAAAGGCAGGAGAUCAACUGUUAAACGUGAACUUCUGUUUGAAGAAGACAGCUUUCAAAAAUCUAACACAUGAAUCAGAAUUUUUGGGAAGACCAAGUACUCUCAAGGUUCACCAUGAAUACUUCGAGAUUAAUAUUAAACUUCUUUUGGUGUCUAUGAAGUCUGUUGACAUGCCUGAGCAAUCAAAUUGUUAAAUGACAAAACAACAAAAGCCCACCUGCAUUUACACCUGCCUUCCUCGCUUCCCUCCUGAUGGAGAAGAAUGAGUUUCUGCUUCUUUUGAGGUCAGCAGCCUCAACAGGUUUAAAUUGCUGAGCUUUGGGUCUUCCUGCUGAGCCUCCUCCUAAAGACACAGUGGCUUGCGAGUGUUCUAGGACUUUCCGUACUUCGGCAGAGGUGCCUAUAGGCCAGGAGCUGUGACCCUACAGGGAGAUGAGCCCAGAGCUGAGGUCUCUACCUGGACUGGGCUAGGCACUCAUCAUGAACCUCAGAAGGAUCUCCAACCUGGGAAGUCUUUGCGUUGGUGACUUUGAAAACUUAAUUUACUCUGCAUGAUCAUCUCUCGCAGUUGGAUAAUGCAGUCACCCACAAAGAAAGCAAGCAAGAGGAAAGGAAAAAACACAAGAUUGCUACUUUCAUGGAAAUAUAAUGGCAACUCAUGCAUAUUUGCCAACUCUCUGGAAGACAUACUCGAAGUAUUUUGAUUAUAAAACAAGGCAGUAUUUUAAAUCACCUUAAGCAGAACUGACAAGAAAUCAAAGGACAUCUAAUAAAAGGUUUUCCUAAGUUGUACUUGCCCAAGAUAUUCAGAGUUUAAAUGGAAGGGGGAAAACAGUUAAAACACCCAUAUUCCUCCCUCCCCUGGGUGCAGAGAACAGAAGAGUGGAGAUAAGAAGAGCAUAGUCAAUGGCAAUCUGAGGAAGGGCUUUUGGACUUGGUGUCCCACCUUUGAAGCUGUUCGCUAAUUCUGUUCAGAGACAGAGGACAUGGCACCCGGAAAUCAGCUCAAGGCCUCUGUUACCGUUGUUAUUCAUGUUAAGCAGCAAAGACAUUAGACUUCAUUUACCUAAGCUCAUGUUAUCCACCUGCUGUAAUGUUCAUGGUCUGCUAAGAUUGCUGCAAGUAAACCCGAGUGUAAAAAUUGCCCACAGGUUCCUGUUUGACAAGUGGCAUGCUGGUUUCUCAUCACUCCCCAGAGGCCACUUAUAAUGAAAAAUAGGUCUUGUGAGCUUUGAAAUUUUUCCAUUCACAACCCUGUAUGUCUUUUAUUAUAUUGCCUUUUAAAAUUAGCAUGCUAUUUUAGAAAAUGAAGAAAACACACCAUGGGCAUCUGCUUUGCAGAAACUACUAAUCGGUCCCUGUCGCUUCACAUAGUCUUGUUAUUACCCAAAAUAGGAAAAUAUGCAAAUUCAUGACACAUGUAUUGAUUUUAAUUUAUCCAGAGGCUCUUCUGCAUAGCUAAGGAAUGAAUAUCUGCCUGUAGAUUUGAUUCCUGUAGAAUCCACAUGUUUGUGCUUGUGGACUCCUUACAUUAUGUCAGCACCAGAUCAUCAAAUAGAUUUUAUUGUUAGUAUUGACUAUACUUUGUGAAUAUCAAGAUUUAGAAUUUAUAAAAGUGAAACAUUCUAAUUUCAUUGUUGUGCCUCCUUUGUAAAGUCCUCUGUACUUCUGCAUUACUAUUUAUCACAGGAAGCUACAUUUGCAUGUUGAAUUAUCUGCCUUUUCCACUAGAUUUCAAACUGUUUGUCUUUCCUUGUCUGUCUCAUUCAUUGUUAGGUCCUCAGAAAAAAAUAGUGUAUGGUCCUCAGUAGGUGCAAUAAAUUAUUAUUAUUAUUACAAGUACUGUCAAGAGUGCCUUAACACAUUUUCUCAUGUAAUCUUCCCAAUAAUCAUAGGAGUUCGUUACUUUGAUCUUCAUAUUAGUGGUAAGGAAUCUAAACCUCAGAUAGGGUAAUCAGUAUGUUUAGAUCCUGCAACAGAACUACCUCAUUCAGAAAUGGGUCUAUGUGGAUACAAAGGAGGAAUAUCUUAUUUACAAUACCACUGCCUUGUGUAUCAGAAGGUAAAAUAUUUUACAAAUCACUCCAGAUGCAGAUGAACACUUGCAAUAAUGAGAGAUUUGUAAAUUUGUAGAUUUUGGGAAAGUGGGAUUGGAAGAAGAGGUGCAUCCUCUUCAAAAUUUGUGUAGAGAAGUUCCGUUCAUUGAUUAUAAAUGCUUCUUGCUCCUUACACAAAUAAACUAAAUAAGGCCUGUCACUGUUGCUGCCAUUGAAUUUGAUGUCAUACUUGGGUAGUGUUGUUAUAGAUAAGAAUGGCCUAAGCAUUUCUAUUUGAUUUAAUUGAUAUGACUGAGCACAUUGCAAUUUUGAGAUUGAUAUUGGGUAGGUUGGGAUUUGGGGCAGAACAGAGAACACAAGGUAGUAUAAUAUACCUGUUAUUGUCACAAACUGACAGUGCAGCAAGAAAUAAGAUAGGUAAAUACAUUACUAUAUAAUAAAGAGAACACAAUGUAGCUGAAGUUUUAUAAUCUGUAGAGGACCUACAAGGGCUAAGAAAUUAUAUCUGGUUGGUGAUGUUAGAUAUAAAUUAUGGAAGGGGUAGCCCUGGCAGGGUCCUUGAAAGAUGGGCAAGAUUUAACAGUUUUAUGUGCAGGAUGUUUGAAGGUAAAUAAAGAUGUUGUCUCUGCUCUUAAGAAUAGUAAGUCUCAUUAGUAGAGAAGAACAUUGAAUAUUGAUAGGUCAGAGAAGAGUAGACUAGAGAAAGCAAUUAAGAUAUAAUUAUGCAAGGUAACAUUAGAAAAGGA
Marmota monax (woodchuck) is the source of this 3156-nucleotide long non-coding RNA. RefSeq lists it as uncharacterized. Lineage: Eukaryota; Metazoa; Chordata; Mammalia; Rodentia; Sciuridae. The transcript has 5 exons. The record is from RefSeq and is a predicted model, not a curated record.